RNAcentral lists this transfer RNA (87 nucleotides) under Fidelibacterota bacterium. Its description in RNAcentral is "tRNA-Ser". It matches the Rfam family "tRNA". Rfam says of the family: Transfer RNA (tRNA) molecules are approximately 80 nucleotides in length. Their secondary structure includes four short double-helical elements and three loops (D, anti-codon, and T loops). Further hydrogen bonds mediate the characteristic L-shaped molecular structure. tRNAs have two regions of fundamental functional importance: the anti-codon, which is responsible for specific mRNA codon recognition, and the 3' end, to which the tRNAs corresponding amino acid is attached (by aminoacyl-tRNA synthetases). tRNAs cope with the degeneracy of the genetic code in two manners: having more than one tRNA (with a specific anti-codon) for a particular amino acid; and 'wobble' base-pairing, i.e. permitting non-standard base-pairing at the 3rd anti-codon position. The record is from RNAcentral. Lineage: Bacteria; Pseudomonadati; Fidelibacterota.
GGAGAGAUGUCCGAGUGGCUUAAGGUGCACGCCUGGAACGCGUGUUUAGAGGAAACUCUAUCGGGAGUUCGAAUCUCCCUCUCUCCG